GUGCCAGCAGCCGCGGUAACACCGGCACCCCAAGUGGUCGCCACUUUUAUUGGGCCUAAAACGUCCGUAGCCUGUUUGGUAAAAUCUGGGGGUAAAUCAACCAGCUUAACUGGUUGGAUUCCGCGGACACUGCCAGACUAGGGACCGGGAGAGGUGAGGGGUACUCUGCGGGGGAGGGGUAAAAUCGUGUCAUCCUUGCAGGAACCACCAGUGGCGAAGGCCCCCACUGGAACCGAUUCUAACGGCGAGGAACAAACCCAUGGGCCCCGACCGGAAUAAAAUCCCCGGGAAUCCUAGGGGUAAACCCCUGCUAAUUGGUGGCUGGAAAUCCUACUGGGGUGUCCGUGGCUGAGUGAAAAGGUUUAAUUCACUGCCCGGGGAAGACCGGCCCCAGGAUUAAACUUUAAAGAAUUGGCGGGGGAACCCUUGCAACGGGAGGAGCGUGCGGUUUAAUUGGAUUCAACGCCGGAAAACUCACCAAGGGCGACGGUUACAUGAAGAUCAAGGUAAUGAGUUUAUCGGAUUUUCAGAGAGGUGGUGCAUGGCCGUCGUCAGUUCGUACCGUAAAGCGUUCUGUUAAGUCAGAUAACGAACGAGACCUUCAUCUCCAUUUGCUAUCCCAUUCUCCGGAAGGGGAGCACUAUAGAGAGACCGCCGGAGUGAAACCAGAGGAAGGAGGGGGCAACGGCAGGCCAGUAUGCCCCGAAUCUCCCGGGCUACACGCGCGCUACAAAGGACAGGACAAUGGGAUGCUAGGCCGAGAGGCAUUCACGCUAACCCGAAACCUGUUCAUAGUUCGGAUUGAGGGCUGUAACUCGCCCUCAUGAAGCUGGAUUCCGUAGUAAUCGUGUUUCAAUAUAGCACGGUGAAUAUGCCCCUGCUCCUUGCACACACCGCCCGUC
Molecule: ribosomal RNA, 902 nt
Filed under: uncultured marine archaeon
Lineage: Archaea
Description: SSU rRNA
Rfam family: Archaeal small subunit ribosomal RNA
Source: RNAcentral